UACGAGGGGGGCUAGUGUUGUUCGGAAUUACUGGGCGUAAAGGGCUCGUAGGCGGCCAACUAAGUCGGAUGUGAAAUCUCCGGGCUUAACUCGGAACGGUCAAGUGAUACUGUCGGACUAGAGUACAGAAGGGGCAACUGGAAUUCUCGGUGUAGCGGUGAAAUGCGUAGAUAUCGAGAGGAACACCUGCGGCGAAGGCGGGUUGCUGGGCUGAUACUGACGCUGAGGCGCGAAAGCCAGGGGAGCGAACGGG
This 253-nucleotide ribosomal RNA is filed under the name uncultured bacterium. RNAcentral describes it as "partial 16S ribosomal RNA". It matches the Rfam family "Bacterial small subunit ribosomal RNA", at positions 524 to 776 of the family's 1533-position model. The record is from RNAcentral.